GCUGGGCAUGGUGGCACAUGCCUGUAAUCCCAGGGUCUUAGGAGGUUGAGGCAGGAGGAUUAUGAGUUCAAAGCCAGCCUCAGCAACAGUGAGGCAUUUAGCAACUCAGUGAGACCCUGUCUCUA
RNAcentral lists this small RNA (125 nucleotides) under Marmota monax (woodchuck). Lineage: Eukaryota; Metazoa; Chordata; Mammalia; Rodentia; Sciuridae. The record is from RNAcentral.